GACGUAGGGCGCAAGCGUUGUCCGGAUUUAUUGGGCGUAAAGAGCUCGUAGGCGGUUUGGUAAGUCUGGUGUGAAAUCUCCACGCUCAACGUGGAGGGGCCACCCGAUACUGCCAUGACUGGAGUCCGGUAGAGGAGUGUGGAAUUCCCGGUGUAGCGGUGAAAUGCGCAGAUAUCAGGAGGAACACCGGUGGCGAAGGCGGAUCUCUGGGCCAUAACUGACGCUGAGGAGCGAAAGCAUGGGGAGCGAACAGG
This 254-nucleotide ribosomal RNA is filed under the name uncultured bacterium. Its description in RNAcentral is "partial 16S ribosomal RNA". It matches the Rfam family "Bacterial small subunit ribosomal RNA", at positions 524 to 776 of the family's 1533-position model. The record is from RNAcentral.